UCCGUAGGCGGUGUGGCAAGUCGGGAGUGAAAUCUCUGGGCUUAACUCAGAGGCUGCUUCCGAAACUGCCAUGCUAGAGUGUGAGAGAGGCGAGUGGAAUUACGGGUGUAGCGGUGAAAUGCGUAGAUAUCCGUAGGAACAUCCGAGGCGAAGGCGGCUCGCUGGAUCACAACUGACGCUGAGGGACGAAAGCUAGGGGAGCAAACAGGAUUAGAUACCCUGGUAGUCCUAGCCCUAAACCAUCAGGACUUGGGGUUUGCCCUGUACGGGGCAAGUCCCGUAGCUAACGCGUUAAGUCCUGCGCCUGGGGAGUACGGUCGCAAAGACUGAA
RNAcentral lists this ribosomal RNA (331 nucleotides) under uncultured bacterium. RNAcentral describes it as "bacterial SSU rRNA". It matches the Rfam family "Bacterial small subunit ribosomal RNA", at positions 568 to 898 of the family's 1533-position model. The record is from RNAcentral.